UAGGAAUCUUGCGCAAUGGGGGAAACCCUGACGCAGCGAUGCCGCGUGGGCGAUGAAGGCCUUCGGGUUGUAAAGCCCUUUUAGUCGGGAAGAAAGAAAUGACGGUACCGACAGAAAAAGCACCGGCUAACCCUGUGCCAGCAGCCGCGGUAAUACAGGGGGUGCAAGCGUUACUCGGAAUCAUUGGGCGUAAAGAGCGUGUAGGCGGUUUGGUAAGUCGAAUGUGAAAGCCCCGGGCUUAAUCCGGGAAGUGCAUUCGAUACUGCUAGACUAGAGUACAGGAGAGGUGAACGGAAUUUCUGGUGUAGAGGUGAAAUUCGUAGAUAUCAGAAGGAACAACAGUGGCGAAGGCGGUUCACUGGACUGUCACUGACGCUUAGGCGCGAAAGCGUGGGGAGCAAAC
Molecule: ribosomal RNA, 403 nt
Filed under: uncultured bacterium
Lineage: Bacteria
Description: bacterial SSU rRNA
Rfam family: Bacterial small subunit ribosomal RNA
Source: RNAcentral